Molecule: RNA transcript, 1189 nt
Organism: Polyodon spathula (Mississippi paddlefish)
Lineage: Eukaryota; Metazoa; Chordata; Actinopteri; Acipenseriformes; Polyodontidae
Gene name: voltage-dependent calcium channel gamma-6 subunit-like
Exons: 5
Source: RefSeq, a predicted model, not a curated record
CCCUUUCCGCUCUCCCCCUCACGGAUCCUCUGCCCCCCCAUCUCUCCGUCCCGUUGGCGAACUUUGUUGAAGUGGCGAUGUGGUCCAACUACUUCGUGCAGGAGGAGGACUCUGGAGGGUUGCGCGGCGUGGCGGGCGGGGCCAGAGGCGGAGCCAGGGGCAGGGCGAAGAGAGGUGCCAGGGGAGCGGGGUGGAGCGACAGCCAGGAUGGGAAGGUGAAGCUGGCGUUCUUCGUGGCGAUCGUGGGGGUCACCCUCGCCAUGCUCGCUGUGGGGACGGAGUUCUGGGUGGAGCUCAACCCCCCCAAAUCCCUCUACAGCAACCACACCUGCCCCGCCGCACACUUUGGACUCUGGAAGAAGUGCUUCAACCUGCUCUUGGUGUCCGACAUCGACCCGGAGAGGGAGAGCUGCGGGCCAGCCGAGCUGCCUGGAGAGGUGAACUGCACCUAUUUCAGAUUCUUCACAACAGGAGAAAAUGCCGUCAUAUUUCAGAAGACUAUCAAGAAAGAGCUCAGUAUUGCUGCUGCAGUGCUGUGUUUGCUCAGUAUCACGCUGAUGAUCUUGGCUUCGAUGUGCAUCACCAUGGCGCUCAGUAAAGGGGUCGAGUUCCUCCUCAAGCCGGCCUCCUUCUUCUUCAUCCUGGCAGGUGUGCUGGUCCUCAUCUCUCUUGAGGUGUUCAGACAGUCAGUCUACGCUCUCCUCUCCUCUGAUCACACUGUCCCGCUCCAUCACAAGUUCUCCUGGUCUGUUGCCUGUGCGGGGGUGGCCGGGGCGACCCUCAUUUUCGGGGGUGUGUGCUUCGUCAUCCUCUCCUUACCCACAAGCCCCUGGGACAAGUGCCUCAACAAAGACAGACCAGAGUCCUAAGAAACGAAUCGUGAGAUAUUUGAGUGGCUGCCAAGGAAAAGCAAUUAGAUAUUGAAGGGGCAGGCUAAUAUAGUUCCAUUCUGCUGUACCUGCUGUAGUUCAGGAGAGAAGAGAGAGGGGAAAGGAGGACAGAGGAUGAGUGUGGAAGUAGUUUUGAAGACCUAAGAACAGAAACACACAGCUGAGUUACAUUUUUAAAGACAUUUAUUUUGAAACAAAGCAUUUCUUGUAUAAAUUCAUGCAAUCAUCUUUAAUUUAUCUUUUCAUAUUGUUUUAAAAUUUGAAUCCUUGGUUGUCCUUAUUCAUUUCAUUUCAAUAAA